ACAACAAAGUCAUGCCAUGACCAAAUCCUAACCAGAACACAUUUAAUAAAAUGGAUUGCAUCUGGCUGCUGUAAUAGUGUAUAUAUACAUGCUAACGACAUGAACGUUCCAUCAGGCCAUGAUCAACUACUCAAAACCAUUACGUGCUUUGCAAAAAACAUAGAAGUAAUCAGCAGAUGACACAAUGAACAAGUGAAGGCUUUAAAUAUCUCCAUGUCGAAGAAUCAAGUCAAUGAAGACAUGCAGUAGGAGAAGGAGCAGCCUUGCAUCAUCGUUUGCUCAGGUCGACGCUAGAAAGUGUGCCGCUGUACAUGAUCAGAACCCGCACGGCAUAGGUACGCCUCGCCAAGGGAGUAGUCCAGUGCCCGUUCCACAGGGACUGCCACCGGACGGUCGACUCGCAUAUACUUGCCAACAUCACGAUAAUAUAAGAUAAUUAUAAUCAGGAAAAAUCACAUUGAUUCAAGCAUAUAACUUGCUGGGGUACCAUAACAUCAUUAUGUGGCAACAAUUUUUUUGCUUUCUAUAUACCAUUGUCAUCAAUCUUAGAUUUAACAAAGCAAGAACUACAAAUGCAACAUAGCCUCAAAUUUAACAAAGCAAGAAUUGUAAAUGCAACAUAGGCAUCCAAGUUACAGAAUAUAAAUUUCAGAAAUUUAAACAGAAGGAUGGAAUGGGGGCACAGAACCUUUAGUAGCAAGAGCUGGUUCGUGUGGUACAUGUAAACAUCCCUAGCAAAUAGAAGGCAGUUUAUUAUAACACAACAAAUGUGUUAAAAUUCAAGGCUAAUCUAUGUGACAUGAGUGAGUGCAGAGGGAGUGCUCUUGUACAAUUAGAGAAACAAAAGUGAUGUGUACAUGAUACAAUACACAGAGAGAGUUUGCUCCAGCCAGAUUCAAUCAUCCAAAAAUGAACCAUAAAGUGAUGCACACAUACAGAACUUGCUCCAUUUUGACUAGAGGCGUGAACAUCUGUUGUUCUUGUCAGUUGUUUAUAGAGUGUUUACCGACUCUAGAGGCAAAAAUGGCAAGCAUAAUGUGUACAUCACCAGUAGCAAAAUCCCAGAAACAAACCUAUCUCAGAAUCUGCACAGCAUUUACCCAAAAUGUAGCACCUAUGUAGAAGAAACUAUGAAAUGUGUAGAAGAAUCAUCACAUGAACAAACAAACUAGACCCCCAUGAACUUGGAAGGCUGUGAACACUAGCAGGACGCACGACAGACCUUGGAAGACUGACUGCGUGUAACCUGUGAGGAAUACAAAUAACACAGGGGCAUAAUACCAAUCCUACACACAUCACUUCUAUGCUGGUAGGAAUAGGAUAGCAUACAAGAACUACAUACUAUAAACUAGUACUCCACAACAUCCUGAAUCCUUGGCAAUACAAUCUGCCAGAAGAUGUUGCAAAAGAAUGCCAUAGCAAAAGGAUCACUCGCGGCCAGGAUCAUUUGGCAGCACGAAACAAGAACUCGGUGUGCAAGACCUGUAAUUAGGCAUGGAGACAGCAAAGGAAACUCACCAAAACAUUUCGGCCUCCUGUCGCUGCGCGCGACCUCGAGCACCUCCGUCGCG
Molecule: long non-coding RNA, 1571 nt
Filed under: Triticum aestivum (bread wheat)
Lineage: Eukaryota; Viridiplantae; Streptophyta; Magnoliopsida; Poales; Poaceae
Description: long non-coding RNA (TAES_LNC001019)
Source: RNAcentral